Molecule: ribosomal RNA, 497 nt
Filed under: uncultured bacterium
Lineage: Bacteria
Description: partial 16S ribosomal RNA
Rfam family: Bacterial small subunit ribosomal RNA
Source: RNAcentral
GAUGAACGCUGGCGGCGUGCCUAAUACAUGCAAGUCGAGCGAACAGACGAGGAGCUUGCUCCUCUGACGUUAGCGGCGGACGGGUGAGUAACACGUGGAUAACCUACCUAUAAGACUGGGAUCACUUCGGGAAACCGGCGCUAAUCCCGGAUAAUAUAUUGAACCGCAUGGUUCAAUAGUGAAAGACGGUUUUGCUGUCACUUAUAGAUGGUUCCGCGCCGCAUUAGCUAGUUGGUAAGGUAACGGCUUACCAAGGCAACGAUGCGUAGCCGACCUGAGAGAGGGAUCGGCCACACUGGAACGGAGACACGGUCCAGAGUCCUACGGUAGGCAGCAGUAGGGAAUCUUCCGCAAUGGGCGAAAGCCUGACGGAGCAACGCCGCGUGAGUGAUGAAGGUCUUCGGAUCGUAAAACUCGGUUAUUAGGGAAGAACAAAUGUGUAAGUAACUAUGCACGUCUUGACGGUACCUAAUCAGAAAGCCACGGCUAACUACGUG